GGUUUGAUCAUGGCUCAGAUUGAACGCUGGCGGGAUGCUUUACACAUGCAAGUCGAACGGCAGCACGGACUUCCGGUCUGGUGGCGAGUGGCGAACGGGUGAGUAAUGUAUCGGAACGUGCCUAGUAGCGGGGGAUAACUACGCGAAAGCGUAGCUAAUACCGCAUACGCCCUUCGGGGAAAGCGGGGGACCUUCGGGCCUCGCACUAUUAGAGCGGCCGAUAUCGGAUUAGCUAGUUGGUGGGGUAACGGCUCACCAAGGCGACGAUCCGUAGCUGGUUUGAGAGGACGACCAGCCACACUGGGACUGAGACACGGCCCAGACUCCUACGGGAGGCAGCAGUGGGGAAUUUUGGACAAUGGAAACCUGAUCCAGCCAUCCCGCGUGUGCGAUAACAGAGGCCUUCGGGUUGUAAAGCACUUUUGGCAGGAAAGAAACGGCGCGGAUAAUACCCCGUGCAGCUGACAGUACCUGCAGAAUAAAAAGCACCGGCUAACUACGUGCCAGCAACCGCGGUAAUACAUGGGGUGCAAGCGUUAAUCGGAAUUACUGGGCGUAAAGCGUGCGCAGGCGGUUCGGAAAGAAAGAUGUAGGAAAUUGCAAGAGCUUAACCUGGUCUGCAUUUUUAACUACCGAGCUAGAGUGUGUCAGAGGGAGGUGGAAUUCCGCGUGUAGCAGUGAAAUGCGUAGAUAUGCGGAGAACACCGAUGGCGAAGAGCAGCCUCCUGGGAUAACACUGACGCUCAUGCACGAAAGCGUAGAGGGAGCAAACAGGAUUAGAUAUACCCUGGUAGUCCACGCCCUAAACAGUGUCAACUAGCUGUUGGGGCCUUCGGGCCUUGGUAGCGCAGCUAACGCGUGAAGUUGACCGCCUGGAAUACGGUCGCAAGAUUAAAACUCAAAGGAAUUGACGGGGACCCGCACAAGCGGUGGAUGAUGUGGAUUAAUUCGAUGCAACGCGAAAAGCCUUACCUACCCUUGACAUGUCUGGAAUCCCGAAGAGAUUUGGGAGUGCUCAUAAGAGAACCGGAACACAGGUGCUGCAUGGCUGUCGUCAGCUCGUGUCGUGAGAUGUUGGGUUAAGUCCACAACAGGCGCAACCCUUGUCAUUAGUUGCUACGAAGGGCACUCUAAUGAGACUGCCGGUGACAAACCGGAGGAAGAUUGGGGAUGACGUCAAGUCCUCAUGGCCCUUAUGGGUAGGGCUUCACACGUCAUACAAUGGUCGGGACAGAGGGUCGCCAACCCGCGAGGGGGAGCCAAUCCAGAAACCCGAUCGUAGUCCGGAUCGCAGUCUGCAACUCGACUGCGUGAAGUCGGAAUCGCUAGUAAUCGCGGAUCAGCAUGUCGCGGUGAAUACCAUUCCCCGAGGUCUUGUACACCGCCCGUCACACCAUGGGAGUGGGUUUUGCAGAAGUAGUUAGCCUAACCGUAAGGAGGGCGAUUUACGGCCAGGAUUCAUGACUGGGGGUGAAGUCAUGGCCUAAAGGUAA
Molecule: ribosomal RNA, 1493 nt
Filed under: uncultured Bordetella sp.
Lineage: Bacteria; Pseudomonadati; Pseudomonadota; Betaproteobacteria; Burkholderiales; Alcaligenaceae
Description: partial 16S-23S ribosomal RNA intergenic spacer
Rfam family: Bacterial small subunit ribosomal RNA
Source: RNAcentral